Molecule: ribosomal RNA, 619 nt
Filed under: uncultured beta proteobacterium
Lineage: Bacteria; Pseudomonadati; Pseudomonadota; Betaproteobacteria
Description: bacterial SSU rRNA
Rfam family: Bacterial small subunit ribosomal RNA
Source: RNAcentral
UUCGGAAUUUACAUUCUGAGUAACGUAGCUAACGCGUGAAGUCAGCCGCCUGGGGAGUACGGUCGCAAGAUUAAAACUCAAAGGAAUUGACGGGGACCCGCACAAGCGGUGGAUGAUGUGGAUUAAUUCGAUGCAACGCGAAAAACCUUACCUACCCUUGACAUGUCACUAACGAAGUAGAGAUACAUUAGGUGCCCGUAAGGGAAAGUGAACACAGGUGCUGCAUGGCUGUCGUCAGCUCGUGUCGUGAGAUGUUGGGUUAAGUCCCGCAACGAGCGCAACCCUUGUCUUUAGUUGCUACGCAAGAGCACUCUAAAGAGACUGCCGGUGACAAACCGGAGGAAGGUGGGGAUGACGUCAAGUCCUCAUGGCCCUUAUGGGUAGGGCUUCACACGUCAUACAAUGGUGCAUACAGAGGGUUGCCAACCCGCGAGGGGGAGCUAAUCUCAGAAAAUGCAUCGUAGUCCGGAUCGUAGUCUGCAACUCGACUACGUGAAGCUGGAAUCGCUAGUAAUCGCGGAUCAGAAUGUCGCGGUGAAUACGUUCCCGGGUCUUGUACACACCGCCCGUCAUACCAUGGGAGUGGGUUUUGCCAGAAGCCGUUAGCCUAACCGCAAGG